UUGGAGGGCAAGUCUGGUGCCAGCAGCCGCGGUAAUUCCAGCUCCAAUAGCGUAUAUUAAAGUUGUUGCAGUUAAAAAGCUCGUAGUUGAAUUUCGGGAUCAAUACGUCGGUCGUGCCUCUGGUAUGUACUGGUGUUAUCGAUUUCUCCUUUCUGAUGAGCCAUGAUGUCAUUAAUUUGGUGUUGUGGGGAGUCAGGACUGUUACUUUGAAAAAAUUAGAGUGUUUAAAGCAGGCUUACGCUUGAAUACAUUAGCAUGGAAUAAUGAAAUAGGACGUUCGAUCCUAUUUUGUUGGCUUCUAGGAUCAACGUAAUGAUUAAUAGGGAUAGUUGGGGGCAUUAGUAUUCAAUUGUCAGAGGUGAAAUUCUUGGAUUUAUUGAAGACUAACUACUGCGAAAGCAUUUGCCAAGGAUGUUUUCAUUAAUCAAGAACGAAAGUUAGGGGAUCGAAGACGAUCAGAUACCGUCGUAGUCUUAACCAUAAACUAUGCCGACUAGGGAUCGGAUGAUGUUAAUUUUUUAAUGACUCAUUCGGCGCCUUACGGGAAAC
Molecule: ribosomal RNA, 549 nt
Filed under: uncultured Glomus
Lineage: Eukaryota; Fungi; Glomeromycota; Glomeromycetes; Glomerales; Glomeraceae
Description: SSU rRNA
Rfam family: Eukaryotic small subunit ribosomal RNA
Source: RNAcentral